Penaeus vannamei (Pacific white shrimp) is the source of this 386-nucleotide non-coding RNA. Lineage: Eukaryota; Metazoa; Arthropoda; Malacostraca; Decapoda; Penaeidae. The record is from RefSeq and is a predicted model, not a curated record.
CAGAGGAGUCGAGCUGUCGCUGUCAGCUGAUCGUGUUGUCUUCUCCGUCACGUCAUUAAACCAACUAUAUCAAGAUGUCUUACGCUUAUUUAUUUAAGUACAUCAUUAUCGGAGACACGGGUGUUGGGAAGUCAUGCCUCUUGCUCCAGUUCACAGACAAGCGCUUCCAGCCAGUCCACGACCUCACCAUCGGAGUGGAGUUUGGUGCAGGCAUGAUCACCAUCGAUAACAAACAAAUCAAACUUCAGAUCUGGGACACAUAGCAUAGGGUGCAUAGUGGUGGGGGACUGAUUGUGGCUGACAUUUAUGGGCUCUUGUGAUAAGAUGGACAUCAUGUUGAAUGACGUAGCUACUUUGAGAUAAGAGGAUUAAAUUAGGAUAUUUUA